RNAcentral lists this transfer RNA (74 nucleotides) under Promethearchaeota archaeon. RNAcentral describes it as "Candidatus Lokiarchaeota archaeon tRNA-Pro". It matches the Rfam family "tRNA". From Rfam's summary of the family: Transfer RNA (tRNA) molecules are approximately 80 nucleotides in length. The record is from RNAcentral. Lineage: Archaea; Promethearchaeati; Promethearchaeota.
GGGAGGGUGGUCUAGUUUGGUAUGAUACUCGGUUCGGAUCCGAGUGGUUGAGGGUUCAAAUCCCUCCUCUCCCA